RNAcentral lists this long non-coding RNA (963 nucleotides) under Pogona vitticeps (central bearded dragon). Its description in RNAcentral is "lncRNA (ENSPVIG00000000211.1)". The record is from RNAcentral. Lineage: Eukaryota; Metazoa; Chordata; Lepidosauria; Squamata; Agamidae.
CUCCUACCACUUGUGGCACAUUGGGCUAUGCACGUGGAAAAGCUGAAAUUCUUAAAAGGAAACCAGGAGGCUUCUAGGACCCAGAAGCUGAGAUGCUUUCCAAGCUUCAGGCUGCCUCUUACCCUUCACUGCAGUAGAUCUGUGCAUCAGCUACAGUGGACAAGAAGCAACAGAGAGGUACCCAGUAUGCUAGAAACCUGCACAAGGGAAGGAGAGAUGGAGCCAUAGAUCUCAGAGGGGAAGCUUCCUGCAUUUGAGAGAAGGUGGGUGAAUACUCUCAGAACAAAACUGAAAAGCCAGUGACUGAAUAUUUGGAAAAGACUUUUCAAAUGAGGCCAGAAACAGCCAUUGUAGACACAGGUUAUUGCUGGUGAACUGUGACUAAGGGAUUCUUCUAUGUUUGAGAACUCAGAGUUCUAGGACCCAUUUUCUCUAAUUUUGGGGCCAAAACCUGAGGUGUAGAAGCGGGACCCCGUGAUUUCUUGGGGCCCAUUCAGUAAACAGAGCAAAAUAUUCCCCAUGGGAUGGUCAGAUAAUGCAGAGACACAAGGAUGAAUUCAAAGGCCCAUUAGGUAGGCGGCCAAGAAUUUGUUGUGACAGAUGCAUAGGCUGAAGUUGCAAGACACUGUGGGAAGCAAGCACAUUACUAAAAAGGCAAAGGAACACUGUUUUUAAACCAGACGGAGGUGGGAAAAGAGUGAAUCUGUAUCUGCAGGUCAAUCUCUUGGUGAUCUGCAGCAGGAACCAACAAAAAAAGCACCAGAUCAGGGUUGUCCCUCAUUCUCUCAGAUUUCAGGCCAGUGUCUGUGAACUGGAAAAUGCACCUCACCACCAGAAUUUCAGGAUCAGAGCCUGUGACCUGGCAACUCUUGCUGCCUGGUGUUAAUAUUUUUUUUUUAAAAAAGGGAAAUUGCCAGGUGCUUCUCUGGAGCUCUGCUGGAGGCACCCCCUGUAGAGCCUAAC